CAGCAGCCACGGUAAUACGAAGGGUGCAAGCGUUACUCGGAAUUACUGGGCGCAAAGCGUGCGUAGGUGGUGGUUUAAGUCCGUUGUGAAAGCCCUGGGCUCAACCUGGGAAUUGCAGUGGAUACUGGGUCACUAGAGUGUGGUAGAGGAUAGUGGAAUUUCCGGUGUAGCAGUGAAAUGCGUAGAGAUCGGAAGGAACACCUGUGGCGAAAGCGGCUCACUGGACCAUUUCUGACGCUGAUGCACGAAAGCUAGGGGAGCAAACAGGAUUAGAUACCCGGGUAGUCCCUGUCUCUUAUAC
RNAcentral lists this ribosomal RNA (301 nucleotides) under uncultured bacterium. RNAcentral describes it as "partial 16S ribosomal RNA". It matches the Rfam family "Bacterial small subunit ribosomal RNA", at positions 509 to 807 of the family's 1533-position model. The record is from RNAcentral.